UUCCCUUACUUUCUUAAUAAACUCGCUUUCACUUUAUGGAUUCAACUGUAAUUCUUUCUUGUGUGAGAUCCAAGAACCUUCUUGUAGGGUCUGGAUUGGGACCCUUUUCUGGUAACAUCUUCCUGGUGACCAUGAAGGGACAAUACUGAAGAGACCCCUGACCCUAAGGAAAUAGACUGCAGCACCAAUGGGCCAACUUUGGUGAUCUCUGGCUGCUGCUCAGAAGAAACAAGAGGGAGGGAUGAAUAAUGUAAAACUCUGGAUCAAUAUUCUAAUUCUGAGCCUCUAUUGGAAUCAGCUAGCAACCACAUAUCAGCUUGGUUUCAACAGUUUCCCAGUUCAUGGUUUGUGGCAAGCUGGAUUGAGCAAGUCUGUUGGCGCCAUUUUUUCAACAGCAUGUAGUCACUUUGUGUCUUCGUGUCACAUUUUGCUAAUUCUUACAAUCUGUCUCGUGAUUUUUUGGGGGGCACCAUGGGGGGGCACCAUGAACCACACCUAUACAAGAUGGCAAACUUAAUCAAUAAAUGUUUAUUUU
RNAcentral lists this long non-coding RNA (535 nucleotides) under Homo sapiens (human). RNAcentral describes it as "HSALNT0352635". Lineage: Eukaryota; Metazoa; Chordata; Mammalia; Primates; Hominidae. The record is from RNAcentral.